Molecule: ribosomal RNA, 305 nt
Filed under: uncultured bacterium
Lineage: Bacteria
Description: bacterial SSU rRNA
Rfam family: Bacterial small subunit ribosomal RNA
Source: RNAcentral
GGUCCUACGGGAGGCAGCAGUGGGGAAUAUUGCACAAUGGGGGAAACCCUGAUGCAGCAACGCCGCGUGAGUGAAGAAGUAUUUCGGUAUGUAAAGCUCUAUCAGCAGGGAAGAAGAUGACGGUACCUGACCAAGAAGCCCCGGCUAACUACGUGCCAGCAGCCGCGGUAAUACGUAGGUGGCAAGCGUUAUCCGGAUUUAUUGGGUUUAAAGGGUGCGUAGGCGGAUUUUUAAGUCAGCGGUAAAAUGUCCGGGCUCAACCCGGGCCGGCCGUUGAAACUGGGGAUCUUGAGUGGGCGAGAGGG